AUAAUGCAGCUGUACGCUUUGCCUGCUAUCUCUUACCCAUGUCUUUUGAGUACCUUACGUUUCCUCGGCGGGUCCGCCCGCCGAUUGGACAAUUUAAACCAUUUGCAGUUGCAAUCAGCGUCUGAAAAAACUUAAUAGUUACAACUUUCAACAACGGAUCUCUUGGUUCUGGCAUCGAUGAAGAACGCAGCGAAAUGCGAUAAGUAGUGUGAAUUGCAGAAUUCAGUGAAUCAUCGAAUCUUUGAACGCACAUUGCGCCCCUUGGUAUUCCAUGGGGCAUGCCUGUUCGAGCGUCAUUUGUACCUUCAAGCUCUGCUUGGUGUUGGGUGUUUGUCUCGCCUCUGCGUGUAGACUCGCCUCAAAACAAUUGGCAGCCGGCGUAUUGAUUUCGGAGCGCAGUACAUCUCGCGCUUUGCACUCAUAACGACGACGUCCAAAAGUACAUUUUUACACUCUUGACCUCGGAUCAGGUAGGGAUACCCGCUGAACUUAAGCAUAUCAAUAAGCGGAGGAA
This 514-nucleotide ribosomal RNA is filed under the name Leptosphaerulina australis. RNAcentral's name for it is "eukaryotic LSU rRNA". The stretch from base 143 to 296 matches the Rfam family "5.8S ribosomal RNA". Lineage: Eukaryota; Fungi; Ascomycota; Dothideomycetes; Pleosporales; Didymellaceae. The record is from RNAcentral.